This 27-nucleotide non-coding RNA is filed under the name Rattus norvegicus (Norway rat). The record is from RNAcentral. Lineage: Eukaryota; Metazoa; Chordata; Mammalia; Rodentia; Muridae.
AUCCUCUGCUAACACAACCAUUCACCU